CAAUAGCGUAUAUUAAAGUUGUUGCAGUUAAAAUGCUCGUAGUUGAGGUUCGGAUGCAGCAGAGCUUGGAAACGCUGUUAUGGUGCUUCCGUUGCUUUUGCUUGUCCACAGUGCGUUGCAAGUACGUAUGUGCUUGUGCGUGCAUUUUACUUUGAGAAACAUAGGGUGUUCCACGCAUGUUACGGCAUGAAUAUUCCAGCAUGGGAUAACCUGGUACGACUUCCAAUCUGCCAUUUUGGUUCGUAGGUUGGAAGUAAUGAUUAAUAGGGACUGUCGGGGGCAUUGGUAUUUGACUGUCAGAGGUGAAAUUCUUAGAUUCGUUGAGGACCAACCACUGCGAAAGCAUUUGUCAAGGAUGUCUCCAUUAA
This 368-nucleotide ribosomal RNA is filed under the name uncultured eukaryote. Its description in RNAcentral is "partial 18S ribosomal RNA". It matches the Rfam family "Eukaryotic small subunit ribosomal RNA", at positions 592 to 976 of the family's 1831-position model. The record is from RNAcentral.